Long non-coding RNA from Cydia fagiglandana, 211 nucleotides. RefSeq lists it as uncharacterized. The transcript has 2 exons. NCBI's taxonomy places the organism in Eukaryota, Metazoa, Arthropoda, Insecta, Lepidoptera, Tortricidae. The record is from RefSeq and is a predicted model, not a curated record.
AUUAAAAAAAACUACUUACUAGAUCUCGUUCAAACCAAUGGGGGGGGGGACACACAUUUUACCACUUUGGAAGUGUCUCUCGCGCAAACUAUUCAGUUUAGAAAAAAAUGAUAUUAGAUACCUCAAUAUCCUUUUUGAAGACCUAUCCAUAGAUACUCCACCCGUAUGGGUUUGAUGAAAAAAAAAUUUUUGAGUUUCAGUUCUAAGUAUA